This 246-nucleotide ribosomal RNA is filed under the name uncultured Oscillospiraceae bacterium. Its description in RNAcentral is "partial 16S ribosomal RNA". It matches the Rfam family "Bacterial small subunit ribosomal RNA", at positions 93 to 339 of the family's 1533-position model. The record is from RNAcentral. Lineage: Bacteria; Bacillati; Bacillota; Clostridia; Eubacteriales; Oscillospiraceae.
UAGUGGCGGACUGGUGAGUAACGCGUGAGGAACCUGCCUUUCAGAGGGGGACAACAGUUGGAAACGACUGCUAAUACCGCAUGACGCAUGACCGGGGCAUCCCGGACAUGCCAAAGAUUUAUCGCUGAAAGAUGGCCUCGCGUCCGAUUAGAUAGUUGGCGGGGUAACGGCCCACCAAGUCGACGAUCGGUAGCCGGACUGAGAGGUUGGCCGGCCACAUUGGGACUGAGAUACGGCCCAGACUCC